GGGGCGUUAGCUCAGUUGGUAGAGCAGCGGACUUUUAAUCCGUUGGUCGGCGGUUCGAAUCCGCCACGCCCUACCA
Molecule: transfer RNA, 76 nt
Filed under: Lysobacter sp.
Lineage: Bacteria; Pseudomonadati; Pseudomonadota; Gammaproteobacteria; Lysobacterales; Lysobacteraceae
Also listed under: 2 other names
Description: tRNA-Lys
Rfam family: tRNA
About the family: Transfer RNA (tRNA) molecules are approximately 80 nucleotides in length. Their secondary structure includes four short double-helical elements and three loops (D, anti-codon, and T loops). Further hydrogen bonds mediate the characteristic L-shaped molecular structure. tRNAs have two regions of fundamental functional importance: the anti-codon, which is responsible for specific mRNA codon recognition, and the 3' end, to which the tRNAs corresponding amino acid is attached (by aminoacyl-tRNA synthetases). tRNAs cope with the degeneracy of the genetic code in two manners: having more than one tRNA (with a specific anti-codon) for a particular amino acid; and 'wobble' base-pairing, i.e. permitting non-standard base-pairing at the 3rd anti-codon position.
Source: RNAcentral